UACGGGGGGGGCAAGCGUUGUUCGGAAUUACUGGGCGUAAAGGGCUCGUAGGUGGCCAACUAAGUCAGACGUGAAAUCCCUCGGCUUAACCGGGGAACUGCGUCUGAUACUGGAUGGCUUGAGUUCGGGAGAGGGAUGCGGAAUUCCAGGUGUAGCGGUGAAAUGCGUAGAUAUCUGGAGGAACACCGGUGGCGAAGGCGGCAUUCUGGACUGCAACUGACACUGAGGAACGAAAGCCAGGGGAGCAAACGGG
This 253-nucleotide ribosomal RNA is filed under the name uncultured bacterium. RNAcentral's name for it is "partial 16S ribosomal RNA". It matches the Rfam family "Bacterial small subunit ribosomal RNA", at positions 524 to 776 of the family's 1533-position model. The record is from RNAcentral.